CGUAGGGUGCGAGCGUUAAUCGGAAUUACUGGGCGUAAAGCGUGCGCAGGCGGUUUUGUAAGACAGAUGUGAAAUCCCCGGGCUCAACCUGGGACCUGCAUUUGUGACUGCAAGGCUAGAGUACGGUAGAGGGGGAUGGAAUUCCGCGUGUAGCAGUGAAAUGCGUAGAUAUGCGGAGGAACACCGAUGGCGAAGGCAAUCCCCUGGACCUGUACUGACGCUCAUGCACGAAAGCGUGGGGAGCAAACAGGAUUAGAUACCCUGGUAGUCCACGCCCUAAACGAUGCCAACUGGUUGUUGGGUCUUUACUGACUCAGUAACGAAGCUAACGCGUGAAGUUGACCGCCUGGGGAGUACGGCCGCAAGGUUG
RNAcentral lists this ribosomal RNA (370 nucleotides) under uncultured organism. RNAcentral describes it as "bacterial SSU rRNA". It matches the Rfam family "Bacterial small subunit ribosomal RNA", at positions 526 to 896 of the family's 1533-position model. The record is from RNAcentral.